GGGCGCUUAGCGCAGGGGUAGCGCGUUCGCUUCGCAUCGACGUGUGCUACUGCGAAAGGUCGUUGGUUCAAAUCCUACAGUGUCCA
Molecule: non-coding RNA, 86 nt
Organism: Mycena polygramma
Lineage: Eukaryota; Fungi; Basidiomycota; Agaricomycetes; Agaricales; Mycenaceae
Source: the annotation of a GenBank genome assembly